RNAcentral lists this ribosomal RNA (497 nucleotides) under uncultured bacterium. RNAcentral's name for it is "partial 16S ribosomal RNA". It matches the Rfam family "Bacterial small subunit ribosomal RNA", at positions 28 to 507 of the family's 1533-position model. The record is from RNAcentral.
GAUGAACGCUGGCGGCGUGCCUAAUACAUGCAAGUCGAGCGAACAGACGAGGAGCGUGCUCCUUUGACGUUAGCGGCGGACGGGUGAGUAACGGGUAGGUAGCCUACCUCUAAGACUUGGAUAACUGCGGGAAACCGGAGCUACGACCGGAUGAUAUUUCGAACGGGGUGGUUCGAUAGUUAAAGAGGGCUUGGCUGAGACUGAGAGAUGGACCUGCGCCGUAUGAGUUAUUUGGUAAGGUAGCGGCUUACCAAGGCAACGAUGCGUAGCCGACCUGCGAGGGUGAUCGGCCACACUAGAACUGAGGCACGGUCCAGACUCCUACGGGAGGCCGCAGUCGGGCAUCUGCCGCCAUGGGCGAAAGCCUGACGGAGCACCGCCGCGUGAGUGAUGAAGGCCUUCGGAUCGUAAAACUCUGUUAUUAGGGAAGCACAAACGUGUAAGUACCUGUGCACGUCUUGACGGUACCUAAUCAGAAAGCCACGGCUAACUACGUG